This is a small nuclear RNA of Phyllostomus discolor (pale spear-nosed bat), 111 nucleotides long. NCBI's taxonomy places the organism in Eukaryota, Metazoa, Chordata, Mammalia, Chiroptera, Phyllostomidae. The record is from RefSeq and is a predicted model, not a curated record.
UGGAUACCUUCUGGACAGAUCUUUUAUGGUAAAUUUGGAAUGAUACAGAGAAGAUUAGGAUGGCCCCUGCACAAGGAUGACACACAAAUUCAGAAAGUGUUCCAUAUAUAU